This 253-nucleotide ribosomal RNA is filed under the name uncultured bacterium. Its description in RNAcentral is "partial 16S ribosomal RNA". It matches the Rfam family "Bacterial small subunit ribosomal RNA", at positions 524 to 776 of the family's 1533-position model. The record is from RNAcentral.
UACGGAGGGUGCAAGCGUUAUCCGGAUUUAUUGGGUUUAAAGGGUGCGCAGGCGGAAUUUUAAGUCAGUGGUGAAAGCCCGAGGCUCAACCUCGGAACUGCCAUUGAUACUGAAAUUCUUGAGUGUGGUUGAUGUGGGCGGAAUGUGCCAUGUAGCGGUGAAAUGCUUAGAUAUGGCACAGAACACCGAUCGUGAAGACAGCUCACAAAACCAUUACUGACGCUCAGGCACGAAAGCGUGGGGAUCAAACAGG